AUGCAACAUGAUGCCUACUUUUGAAUGCAGAAAGUUCAGCUUCAGACAUACAACAAAGAAUUAAAUAUUCAUGCAGCGUCCUCUUUUCAUUUCAGUUAACAGCCAAAUGAAAAAAAAGAAAAAAGAUAAUGAAAUGUUUAGGCUACAAAAGUCUUUGCAGUGAAGCACAAAGUUAAUGGUUCUACAGAUUUACCCUGUUAUGUGAAAAUGUUCACACUGGAUAAUAUAUUUUAAGGCUGACAACUGUGCAGAGCACUGAAAGGGAAAACAUGAUGUAUUCUUUACAAAUCACUAAGUGAAACUAGAUCAGACUGAUGAAAGCAGUGAAUAAUGAGUUACAGUGAUUACAUGUUGUAUGUGUUUUGGCACAUGCUAAAUCUUAUGUCAGGGGUGAAGCAGGAAGGCCAAGACAAGAAGAUUUAACAUCUCUGUCAUGCUGCAGUUACUGUAUUGUAUUAUAAUGCUGUUACAGUCUGAAAAAAACCCAAUCUCACACUACAAACCUGUCGACUGUUCAUGUGACAAAUGUAAUUUGUGACCAUCGCAUCAAUAUUAGUCAUAUAGCAGUUUCUAUUUUCACAUAUCCUUUAAAUACACAGUAUAGAGUCAUUAACCACUGUCGCCAUCCACCACACAUGUGAGCUCUUUGAACAUUUCAAUUAACCUGUUCAGUGAGACCUGCACAGUAAAGGUGCAAAUUAAAAUUACCAAUUUCCACAAAAAUCAUUUAACUCAGAUUAGCUUCAGGGCCAAAAUUAAAAGCAUGGAUUUGAUGUAUGGUGUUUAAUUGAAAAAGAUUUCCCCACUGUCCAGCUACAAGGUGAGAAGCCAGUCUAUUUGCUAGAACAGUGGUCACAUGUGCAGCUGUCUAGCCAUCUUAUAAAUUAAAGGUAAUGACAAAUAUCUAGCAGGGGCUGCACUGAUUUUUUAAUUAAUACCACAGAGAGAGACGUUUUUAACUUUUUCAUACAGGAGCAGAUGGUAAGUCCACAAAGAACAUCAAUUCUCCCCGGUGCUCCCAAAGCCAAGAUAAAGUCCAACUUCAUUUUCUUACAGAGACUGAGUUAAUGAGGUGAGAGGUUACAACUCCAAAUGGCCAUACAAAGAAUCACCCAGUGGUCUCUGCAGACACUAGAAGUCAGAAGUAAUCCCUAAAACCUUUGAUUUAGUUAAAUUCUCGUCAUUUGUGUUCAGACUGACCCCAAAAAAGGAUUAAAUCCAUGCUUUAAUUUUGUUUCUGUUUGAAAAAACCUUUCUCUGGCGCCAUCCAAUGGUGGGAAAAGAAAAAGACACCACGAUCAGACAGCGUGGGCACAAGAUGAGCGUGCUUCAAGCAACAGGUAGCCAUUGGAGGACAGAAAGGAUGCAAUGUCGACUAAAGAGAAGCUAAACACAUGUUCACUGACAGUCAGAGCAGGACGAUAAUGGCCACCCUUGGACAUUCUGCACCACAGGGCAGCCCUGUGACUUGUCCAGGGUGCCCCCUAGGCUCCAUCACCCCCCGCCAACUUCAAUCGGAUACGUGGAAGAAAAUUCACAGAUGCAUUGCUUUGUUACAACCACUCGAGCAGCAUUAACAGCUCACUACUCCAUUUACCCAAGACUUGGAUUGUCUCUAACUCAUUUACCACC
Molecule: long non-coding RNA, 1632 nt
Organism: Oreochromis niloticus (Nile tilapia)
Lineage: Eukaryota; Metazoa; Chordata; Actinopteri; Cichliformes; Cichlidae
Exons: 5
Source: RefSeq, a predicted model, not a curated record